UACGUAGGGUGCAAGCGUUAAUCGGAAUUACUGGGCGUAAAGCGUGCGCAGGCGGCUUUGUAAGACUGUCGUGAAAUCCCCGGGCUCAACCUGGGAACUGCAUUUGUGACUGCAUCGCUGGAGUGCGGCAGAGGGGGAUGGAAUUCCGCGUGUAGCAGUGAAAUGCGUAGAUAUGCGGAGGAACACCGAUGGCGAAGGCAAUCCCCUGGGCCUGCACUGACGCUCAUGCACGAAAGCGUGGGGAGCAAACAGG
This 253-nucleotide ribosomal RNA is filed under the name uncultured bacterium. RNAcentral describes it as "partial 16S ribosomal RNA". It matches the Rfam family "Bacterial small subunit ribosomal RNA", at positions 524 to 776 of the family's 1533-position model. The record is from RNAcentral.